UGCACGUGGGUGCUGGUGUGGUUGCGGGCGUACCUUUCCACGAAAGUGAAAUGAAGCCGUAAGACCGUACAGUGGUUAUUAAGUUAUUAAUGUAACUAAGUGACGUACAUUAAACUUCACUGCGAAAGCAGAAGCUGCAAGCGUCUCUCGUUGUUUUGCGGGCACCGGUUUAUUGCCACUCCCCAUGCGUCUUCUCUCGCGUCUACGCUAAAAGCGGCGUCCAGCCCAACGACGGCAGUGCCCGCAACCCUGCGCUCCACCGCAUGUCCCGUCCAAUUCCCAUACAACGCCGGCGAAAGUCACGUGAUUAAUGACGUUGCAGGAGUCACCUUGCCAAAGACACGUGAUGGGAGAAUGAGAAGACGCUUCUAGGUUGAAGAUAGACCAAAAGCCAGGAGAGGUCAUGACGCAAAAAGAUGAGCCCAAGUCCUCAAAAGUCCGCAAAGUUCCCCAAGUCCUCAAGUCAAACUCCUCAAAGUCCGCAAGUCCGCAAAAGUCCUCAUCAGGAAGCCCGCAUAGGCGUCGAAACGUUACAAGUAAAUGUUGUAGCCUGUUGUGUCAAGCCGGCGUUUCAUCUUUUUUGCGUCGUACGCUUCUAAGAAUAAUUUCCGUUGUCUUCUGAGCACACAGAAAUAGAAUUACGGCACGGAUCACAAUUCAAAAUCUCUCCCUUUUAAACGCUCGAGUAUCAUCGUACACCAUUUUGUGCCUAAUAAGCAACUUCUUCCUCCGACGAGACAUGAGGAAGCGUGAUUUCCCUGUUAUGCGCCGAAUAACUGAUAACGCCUUUACCCAGCACCACCACAUUAGCCGGCUCAUUAUUUACCUCAAGCGUCGAGCUGCAGAAUUUAUAAACCGCUUUAAAUUUCACGUCGUAUACCACAGUGUGCGCAAGCUCACACGC
Long non-coding RNA from Ornithodoros turicata, 904 nucleotides. RefSeq lists it as uncharacterized. The transcript is spliced from 4 exons. Lineage: Eukaryota; Metazoa; Arthropoda; Arachnida; Ixodida; Argasidae. The record is from RefSeq and is a predicted model, not a curated record.